GGACUACAAGGGUAUCUAAUCCUGUUUGCUCCCCACGCUUUCGCACCUCAGCGUCAGUUCCGGGCCAGUGAGCCGCCUUCGCCACUGGUGUUCUUGCGAAUAUCUACGAAUUUCACCUCUACACUCGCAGUUCCACUCACCUCUCCCGGACUCAAGAUCCCCAGUAUCAAAGGCAGUUCCGAGGUUGAGCCCCGGCAUUUCACCCCUGACUUAAGAAUCCGCCUACGUGCGCUUUACGCCCAGUGAUUCCGAACAACGCUAGCCCCCUUCGUAUUACCGCGGCUGCUGGCAC
RNAcentral lists this ribosomal RNA (292 nucleotides) under uncultured bacterium. Its description in RNAcentral is "partial 16S ribosomal RNA". The record is from RNAcentral.